This 274-nucleotide ribosomal RNA is filed under the name Clostridioides difficile. Its description in RNAcentral is "partial 23S ribosomal RNA". It matches the Rfam family "Bacterial large subunit ribosomal RNA", at positions 1611 to 1898 of the family's 2925-position model. Lineage: Bacteria; Bacillati; Bacillota; Clostridia; Peptostreptococcales; Peptostreptococcaceae. The record is from RNAcentral.
AGAAAAGUCUCUAUCGAGGUUAAAGGUACCCGUACCGCAAACCGACACAGGUGGGUGAGGAGAGUAUCCUAAGGCCCGCGAGAGAACUGUUGUUAAGGAACUCGGCAAAAUGACCCCGUAACUUAGGGCUAAGGGGUGCCACCAUCCGGUGGCCGCAGAGAAUAGGCCCAAGCGACUGUUUACCAAAAACAUAGGUUUCUGCUAAGUCGCAAGACGAUGUAUAGGAGCUGACGCCUGCCCGGUGCUGGAAGGUUAAGGGGAUCUGUUAGAGCAA